CAGUAGCCGCGGUAAUACGAAGGGUGCAAGCGUUAAUCGGAAUUACUGGGCGUAAAGCGUGCGUAGGCGGUGAGUUAAGUCUGCUGUGAAAUCCCCGGGCUCGACCUGGGAAUGGCAGUGGAUACUGGCUCGCUAGAGUGUGUCAGAGGAUGGUGGAAUUCCCGGUGUAGCGGUGAAACGCGUAGAGAUCGGGAGGAACAUCAGUGGCGAAGGCGGCCAUCUGGGACAACACUGACGCUGAGGCACGAAAGCGUGGGGAGCAAACAGGAUUAGAUACCCCUGUAGUCCCUGUCUCUUAUAA
RNAcentral lists this ribosomal RNA (301 nucleotides) under uncultured bacterium. RNAcentral's name for it is "partial 16S ribosomal RNA". It matches the Rfam family "Bacterial small subunit ribosomal RNA", at positions 509 to 809 of the family's 1533-position model. The record is from RNAcentral.